CCCUUAGAUGUUCUGGGCUGCACGCGCGCUACACUGAUGCGCUCAACGAGUUUACGACCUUGCCCGGAAGGGUUGGGUAAUCUUUUUAAAACGCAUCGUGAUGGGGAUAGAUUAUUGCAAUUAUUAAUCUUUAACGAGGAAUUCCUAGUAAGCGCGAGUCAUCAGCUCGUGCUGAUUACGUCCCUGCCCUUUGUACACACCGCCCGUCGCUCCUACCGAUUGGGUGUGCUGGUGAAAUGUUCGGAUCGGCCGUUUGUCGCGGUUUCCGCGGCUCGUGGCUGAGAAGUUCAUUAAACCCUCCCACCUAGAGGAAGGAGAAGUCGUAACA
RNAcentral lists this ribosomal RNA (328 nucleotides) under uncultured eukaryote. RNAcentral describes it as "partial 18S ribosomal RNA". It matches the Rfam family "Eukaryotic small subunit ribosomal RNA", at positions 1470 to 1796 of the family's 1831-position model. The record is from RNAcentral.